UCUGGUUGAUCCUGCCAGUAGUGAUAUGCUUGUUUCAAAGAUUAAGCCAUGCAUGUCUAAGUAUAAGCGAACUUAUACAGUGAAACUGCGGAUGGCUCAUUAAAACAGUUUGAAUUUAUUUGAUGAAUGUAUGAGAAUACUACUUGGAUAACCGUAGUAAUUCUAGAGCUAAUACAUGCAACGACGCCCGACCGUUUCACUACGGAAGGGCUGUAUUUAUUGGAUACCAAAACCAUCCUUCCCUCGGGAAGUUUUGUUUGAUGAUUCACAAUAACUGAUCGGAUCGCCACUGUGGUGGCGACAGGUCAUUCAACAUUCUGCCCUAUCAGCUUUCGAUGGUUGUGUAGUGGACAACCAUGGCCAUAACGGGUAACGGAGAAUCAGGGUUCGAUUCCGGAGAAGGAGCUUGAGAAUUGGCUACUACAUCUAAGGAAGGCAGCAGGCGCGCAAAUUACCCAAUCCCGAUUCGGGGAGGUAGUGACAAAAAAUAACAAUACCGGGCCUUUUUGGGCUUGGUAAUUGGAAUGAGGGAGAGUUAAACGGACCAUCGAGUAUCCAUUGGAGGGCAAGUCUGGUGCCAGCAGCUGCGGUAAUACCAGCUCCAAUAGCGUAUAUUAAAGUUGUUGCAGUUAAAAAGCUCGUAGUUGGACUUGUGUGCGCUGUCCGCGGGUGGCCUGCGCCCAAAAGGGCGUUUCGGUUCGGCCCCGGUGGCGCCUUGAAAUCUGCAGCUGGGGGGACGUUGGCCUUAACUGGUCGGCGACCGCACGCCGGCUGCUCGGUUACUGUGAGAAAAUUAGAGUGUUCAAGGCAGGCAUUGGGUGCAAUUGAAUACAUUAGCAUGGAAUAAUAAAAUAUGGCUCCUGCCGUAUUUUGUUGGUUUUGACUGGUGGGAGUAAUGAUUGAUAGGGACGGUUGGGGGUGCUAGUAUUGAGCGGCCAGAGGUGAAAUUCAUGGAUUCGCUCAAGACUAACUUAUGCGAAAGCAUUCACCAAGGACGUCCUCUUUAAUCAAGAACGAAAGUUGGGGGAUCGAAGACGAUCAGAUACCGUCGUAGUCUCAACCAUAAACUAUGUCGACUUGGGAUCGGCGGUAGUUUUUUCAUUAAGACACUGUCGGGACCACGGGAGAAAUCAAAGUGUCUGGACUCUGGGGGAAGUAUGGUCGCAAGGCUGAAACUUGAAGGAAUUGACGGAAGGGCACCACCAGGAGUGGAGCCUGCGGCUUAAUUUGACUCAACACGGGGAAACUUACCAGGUCCAGAGAUUUAGAGGAUUGACAGAUUGAGGCUCUUUCUUGAUCACUUCGGUGGUGGUGCAUGGCCGUUCUUAGUUGGUGGAGUGAUUUGUCUGGUUAAUUCCGUUAACGAACGAGACCUCAGCCUGCUAGUGUAGUC
This 1393-nucleotide ribosomal RNA is filed under the name metagenome. RNAcentral describes it as "SSU rRNA". It matches the Rfam family "Eukaryotic small subunit ribosomal RNA", at positions 1 to 1360 of the family's 1831-position model. The record is from RNAcentral.